Molecule: unclassified non-coding RNA, 378 nt
Filed under: uncultured Actinomycetes bacterium
Lineage: Bacteria; Bacillati; Actinomycetota; Actinomycetes
Description: uncultured actinobacterium contains 16S-23S intergenic spacer region
Source: RNAcentral
UCCGAGUUGACCCCGGCAGUCUCCUGUGAGUCCCCGGCAUAACCCGCUGGCAACACAGAACAAGGGUUGCGCUCGUUGCGGGACUUAACCCAACAUCUCACGACACGAGCUGACGACAACCAUGCACCACCUGUACACCGACCACAAGGGGGCCCCUGUCUCCAGAGGUUUCCGGUGUAUGUCAAGCCUUGGUAAGGUUCUUCGCGUUACGUCGAAUUAAGCCACAUGCUCCGCCGCUUGUGCGGGCCCCCGUCAAUUCCUUUGAGUUUUAGCCUUGCGGCCGUACUCCCCAGGCGGGGCACUUAAUGCGUUAGCUACGGCACGGAUUCCGUCGAUAGGAACCCACACCUAGUGCCCAACGUUUACGGCGUGGACUAC